CUGGUCUGCCUAGCGCUGCCUGCCUUGUGUUAGUUUGAGAAUUCCAUUCCGUUGAUCAAGGAUAGAAGAAUAUUUAUUGAUGGUAGAGAGGACAUGAGGAGGACUGGUUUGCUUUCGCUGUGCUGUUGAUGGUACCCCAAAUGGCGUUACCUGGUCUGUUCGCUUCAGCUUAAGCUGGCUGAAAAGCUGAAAUGGCUGAUUUGUUGUGAGAGAAAAACACUGUUUGGUGGCUGAUAAGCCGGUUGAAUAAGCUGAAGCGAACAGACCUACUAUUGCUACAUGUCUUUUUUCUUUUGGAAAAUAAAUGAAAUGACUGGAACGUUUUUUGAAGCUUUCGCUCGAGUGCCCACCUGAGUCAGAUGGUUUCGGCGGGCGGUGAGGAAUGACUAGGAUGAGAUGCAAAAGCUCCCCUAUCAUGCGUGGAAAGUCCCAAGUACUUGAAAGGCAGAUUCGUCGCGUGUACAUAGACAGUUUCCAUUUUUUU
RNAcentral lists this long non-coding RNA (484 nucleotides) under Setaria italica (foxtail millet). RNAcentral describes it as "long non-coding RNA (SITA_LNC000791)". The record is from RNAcentral. Lineage: Eukaryota; Viridiplantae; Streptophyta; Magnoliopsida; Poales; Poaceae.